This 998-nucleotide ribosomal RNA is filed under the name Bacillus sp. (in: firmicutes). RNAcentral describes it as "bacterial SSU rRNA". It matches the Rfam family "Bacterial small subunit ribosomal RNA", at positions 67 to 1032 of the family's 1533-position model. Lineage: Bacteria; Bacillati; Bacillota; Bacilli; Caryophanales; Bacillaceae. The record is from RNAcentral.
CCCCGUAUACAUAUGAUUCUCCCCCGCCAGACUCUUGAUACCGGGCCCCCGAGUGGUGAGUACACGCGGGGAACCUGCCUGUAAGACUGGGAUAACCCGGGAAACCGGUGCUAAUACCGGAUAAUCCUUUUCCUCUCAUGAGGAAAAGCUGAAAGUCGGUUUCGGCUGACACUUACAGAUGGGCCCGCGGAGCGUUCCCUAGUUGGUGAGGUAACGGGUCACCAAGGCGACCAUGCGUAGCCCACCUGAGAGGGUGAUCGGCCACGCUGGGACUGAGACUCGGCCCAAACUCCUACCGGAGGCACCACUGGGGAAUCUUCCACAAUGGACUAAAGUCUGAUGGAGCAACUCCUCGUGAGCCAUGAAGGCCUUCGGGUCGGAAAGCUCUGUUGUUAGGUAAGAACAAGUACCGGAAUAACUGCCGGUACCUUGACGGUACCUAACCCGAAACCCACGGCUAACUACAUGCCUACCUCCGCGGUAAUACCUAGGUGGCAAGCGUUGUCCGGAAUUAUUGGGCGUAAAGUGCGCGCAGGCGGUCCUUUAAGUCUGAUGUGAAAGCCCACGGCUCAACCGUGGAGGGUCCUUGGAAACUGGGGGACUUGCUGGCGGAAUAGGAAAGCGAAAUUCCACGUGUAGUGGCGAAAUGCGUAGAGAUGUGCAGGAACACCAGUGGCAAAAGGCGGCUUUCUGGGCUGUUACUGACGCUGAGGCGCACAAUCAUGGGGGAGCAAACAGGAUUAGAUACCCUGGUAGAUCCCCCCGUAAACCAUGACGGAUAAGAGUAAGAGGGGAUUCCGCCCUGUUAUUGCUGCCUCUAACGCAUUAACCACUCCCGCCUGGGGAUUCCGGUCGCGAGGCUGAACCUCAAGGUAAAUAGUCAGAGGGCCCUCACAGGGGCCGGAGCAUGUGGUGUAUUUGUAGAACACUAAGAACCAUUCCCAGGAUUGUCCUCCGCCUGCGCCUCCACAGAUAAGACGUUCCUUUUCCGGUAGCGU